CUCUCUCUCUCUCUUUCUCUCUCUCUCCCCAUCUCUCUCUCUUUUACUCUCUCCUUUGCACACAUAGUAUUGUCAACAAAGCCAGAGAACAAGGGAGAGGGGUGAACGAGGGAAUAAAAGAGUGCAAAGUGGAGUAAUAAGUGUUUUUUUCCAUCUCAGAAGUACAUAUCUUUCACCACAUCCUAUGCUUUUCCAGUCUCUAAGGGAAGGCGAGAGGGGCGAGGGUCAAGGGUGAGGCGAGAAGCGAGAGAGGGCUGGAAGAGCUCGGGUUAAGGUGUUUGGCGUUCCUAUUUCUGGCGGAGGGGGAGAACGUAUCAUGUAUGAGAAGUUAACCAUAAUGAACCUGCAAAGCGGCUUGAACUGGACUGAGCCCAACAACUGGUACCAUGACCUGACCACAGUACAAACACAACACAGCACAGUGCCCGAGGGCUGUCUGUCGGACACAGAUGGAGGCCUGGGAGACGAAGGUGGUGGUGGAGGAGAUGGGGGAGGAAGAGGAGGAGUAGGAGGAGGGCCGGUGGAGAGGGAUGAGGGUGAGGAGUCACAGCUGAGGCUGCAGCUGAAGAGGAAGCUACAGAGGAACAGGACCAGCUUCACUCAAGAGCAGAUUGAGGCGCUGGAGAAAGACAGUGUCGUCCCAGUCUGCCAUCUCUUACUCUUGCAUGUUACCCCCGUCCCCUUCCACCCCGCAGACCUUUGACUCUUCAGCAUAUCCCUCCCAUAUUCCUCCACCGUCCUCUGCCAACUCAAACACUGGGCUAAUUUCUCCCAGGGUUUUGGUACCGGUGCAGCUUCCUGGGAACGAGCAGAGCAUGGGCCAGAACCUCGGUCAGUACUGGGCCAGACUACAGUGAGAGAGGGGGAACGAGAAUCGACUGAGGGGACCAUCAAAAAAACAAAGGCAUAUUAUGAGAACGAGAAGCAUAGAAGCUCAUUGAUAUGGCGUGGCUAGUUGUUCCCUAAGCAUCAGUGGUGAGAGGCUGCAUAUACUGUGAAGAUUCCUUUUUUGACUCGAUUAUCAUAAAACAAUCACCUUUUACAAACAUGUUUAACCUCUACGGGAUCGGUGUCCCGUAUACGGGACGGUUGAGCUAACGGGCUCAAAUUUGAUAUGCAU
Coregonus clupeaformis (lake whitefish) is the source of this 1120-nucleotide RNA transcript. It is a transcript of the gene named paired box protein Pax-6-like, with no coding region annotated. The transcript has 5 exons. The record is from RefSeq and is a predicted model, not a curated record. NCBI's taxonomy places the organism in Eukaryota, Metazoa, Chordata, Actinopteri, Salmoniformes, Salmonidae.